Long non-coding RNA from Morone saxatilis (striped sea-bass), 240 nucleotides. RefSeq lists it as uncharacterized. The record is from RefSeq and is a predicted model, not a curated record. NCBI's taxonomy places the organism in Eukaryota, Metazoa, Chordata, Actinopteri, Moronidae. The transcript has 2 exons.
GAGGUGGGCGGGGGGUAACGAAUAUUUUUAGCGCGAGGAGGGCAGAUACAAAGAGUUAGGGAACCACAUGAUCUAGAGAAAGAAGCGGCGGUGCACAGUGGCGUUACAAGGUCAGCAUGCAAAGAUGAAGCGGACUGUAGCUGUGUUGUGUCUGUCCCUUCUUUUGGUUCAUUUUUCACUGGCCAAGAAAAAGGGAGGGUUUGGUGGGAAAUUAAAUAUCUUUAAGAAGACCCCCAAACA